This 468-nucleotide ribosomal RNA is filed under the name uncultured bacterium. RNAcentral describes it as "partial 16S ribosomal RNA". It matches the Rfam family "Bacterial small subunit ribosomal RNA", at positions 28 to 507 of the family's 1533-position model. The record is from RNAcentral.
GACGAACGCUGGCGGCGUGCUUAACACAUGCAAGUCGAACGGAAAGGCCCUGCUUUUGUGGGGUGCUCGAGUGGCGAACGGGUGAGUAACACGUGAGUAGCCUGCCCUUGACUUUGGGAUAACUUCAGGAAACUGGGGCUAAUACCGGAUAGGAGCUCCUGCUGCAUGGUGGGGGUUGGAAAGUUUCGGCGGUUGGGGAUGGACUCGCGGCUUAUCAGCUUGUUGGUGGGGUAGUGGCUUACCAAGGCUUUGACGGGUAGCCGGCCUGAGAGGGUGACCGGCCAUAUUGGGACUGAGAUACGGCCCAGACUCCUACGGGAGGCAGCAGUGGGGAAUAUUGCACAAUGGGCGGAAGCCUGAUGCAGCAACGCCGCGUGCGGGAUGACGGCCUUCGGGUUGUAAACCGCUUUCGCCUGUGACGAAGCGUGAGUGACGGUAAUGGGUAAAGAAGCACCGGCUAACUACGUG